AAUGAAAUAGAAUGGGGUGUUCGUUACACGUCUUUUAUGAAACUCCCCUGCGUAGAAAUCGCCAUUGCGGUAAAACUCCAAACCUUCUUGAACAAUCUUCCUACUCUCCAAUUUCUCCGAUUCCGCAUCGCCGAUGAACCAUUGCACAGGCUUCGAACGCAAAAACCCUAACCUCUUCUCAUACUCAUCGCAGAUUUGCUUGAAGAAAUUGACAUUCCUGCUCACUAAACCCCUGUUUCUCGAGAGCAAAAACAUGAAAAUCCCGACGAAAAUUAAAGCUGAGAGUAGAUUCUCCGAGGUGGCUAAAUCGUCCGAAGUGAAGAAGGCGAAGAGCGCGUAGAGGAGGAAGGCGGCGGCCACAGGUGCCACCGCACCGGAGCGAACCGAAGGUGGAAGCGGCCUGCUGUGCGGCUUCUGCUCCUCGAGAUCCUCCGCGUCGUCUUGCUCACCGAAGACAAGCUGUGGAUGGAUGAGCGGAUGGUGGGAGAUGAGCGGAGGAGUGAGGAAUUCGUUCGAGUGAUCUUCGUCUGACCGUCCAUUUUAUGAUGAAAUUCGCUCUAGUUUCAUCCUCGCCCGUUGAUUUUUUUAUCCGCCGUCGAACUAAAGCAGCCUCGAAAGACGUAUUGUCAUUUGCUCUGGCACCGGUUUCAUUUCCGGUGACGGCACACGUGCAGAAUCAGCUGACCACUCCACGGCAAAUUGAUCUACCCGAACAGCAGUGAACGGUGGCGUGUGCGGGGCCGGGCCUGGGCGGCUGAACUCGUUGCGUCAGUCAGCGAGCAGCAGCAGCUCAACGAAGCGGAGAUGUCGGCGGCUGUGGUGCGAGCUGUGGCGGCGGUGUCCGCUGUCCGCGCGGAGACGGCGAUGUGAAUCUUCAAUUUAGAGAGAGAGACGGGAUGUCUGUGGUUUCCAAUUUGGGGGUUUUUCCUCAAUUUUGAGUUGGAAAUGAGAGUGAGGGACAGUACCGAGAGGUAGAAGAUAGCACUCCCUCCGUCCCCACGGUGGUUGUUUACGGCGGAGGAUGGGAGGAGAUGCUUACGCUUUGGUGGCGGCGUAGAGCGGGUUCGGGAGAAUUGCAUUAGAAGGUUUGCGAGGAUCGAUCUUGACUACUCUGGAAAUGGAGACUGUCCAAUGUGUAUAUCUCUGAACAAAGAGGAAGCCGAAAAGGAAAAUCCACAAAUGACUAGUUGCAACACCGCUCUGGAGAUUGAACGAACACCUGGGAGGAAGCCGUAACUAUUUCUUUUACUUGAAAUAUUCACAGUGCGUGUAAC
This is a long non-coding RNA of Salvia splendens (bonfire salvia), 1274 nucleotides long. RefSeq lists it as uncharacterized. The transcript has 4 exons. The record is from RefSeq and is a predicted model, not a curated record. NCBI's taxonomy places the organism in Eukaryota, Viridiplantae, Streptophyta, Magnoliopsida, Lamiales, Lamiaceae.